GGCGAACGCUGGCGGCGUGCCUAAUACAUGCAAGUUGAGCGCUGAAGGUUGGUACUUGUACCAACUGGAUGAGCAGCGAACGGGUGAGUAACGCGUGGGGAAUCUGCCUUUGAGCGGGGGACAACAUUUGGAAACGAAUGCUAAUACCGCAUAAAAACUUUAAACACAAGUUUUAAGUUUGAAAGAUGCAAUUGCAUCACUCAAAGAUGAUCCCGCGUUGUAUUAGCUAGUUGGUGAGGUAAAGGCUCACCAAGGCGAUGAUACAUAGCCGACCUGAGAGGGUGAUCGGCCACAUUGGGACUGAGACACGGCCCAAACGCCUACGGGAGGCAGCAGUAGGGAAUCUUCGGCAAUGGACGAAAGUCUGACCGAGCAACGCCGCGUGAGUGAAGAAGGUUUUCGGAUCGUAAAACUCUGUUGGUAGAGAAGAACGUUGGUGAGAGUGGAAAGCUCAUCAAGUGACGGUAACUACCCAGAAAGGGACGGCUAACUACGUG
RNAcentral lists this ribosomal RNA (497 nucleotides) under uncultured bacterium. RNAcentral describes it as "partial 16S ribosomal RNA". It matches the Rfam family "Bacterial small subunit ribosomal RNA", at positions 28 to 507 of the family's 1533-position model. The record is from RNAcentral.